Molecule: small nucleolar RNA, 133 nt
Filed under: Catagonus wagneri (Chacoan peccary)
Lineage: Eukaryota; Metazoa; Chordata; Mammalia; Artiodactyla; Tayassuidae
Description: Small nucleolar RNA SNORA31 (ENSCWAG00000005631.1)
Rfam family: Small nucleolar RNA SNORA31
About the family: ACA31 (SNORA31) belongs to the H/ACA class of snoRNAs which are thought to guide the sites of modification of uridines to pseudouridines. ACA31 is predicted to guide the pseudouridylation of U3713 in 28S rRNA and U218 in 18S rRNA. This family includes the mouse homologue snoMBI-161.
Source: Rfam by way of RNAcentral
AUACAUCUAUUUGACAAGCCUGGGGCAGUUAACUGUCUGUUGCUCAGGUUUCCAUGACAGAUACAAGAAGAAAGAGUCCUUGCACUUUCUGUCUCUGAUUGUGGCAGCCCAGAUUGAAUGGGGGAAUAUAGGG